CUUCAGCGAGCCGAGCCAGAGCGGGGUGCCGGCGCGGUCGCGCCCGUAGGUGGCAAGCAGCGCCUGCGCCUC
Molecule: antisense RNA, 72 nt
Filed under: Streptosporangium subroseum
Lineage: Bacteria; Bacillati; Actinomycetota; Actinomycetes; Streptosporangiales; Streptosporangiaceae
Description: ASpks TB sRNA
Rfam family: ASpks TB sRNA
Source: Rfam by way of RNAcentral